GUGAGGGAAACAGAGUUAGAGACAUUGCCGGACAUAAGGUCCUAUUCUGGAAGGGAUCCAGAAGCUUCUUGAUAGGGACUACAUAAAGGUCCUAAAGGAGCAGGAAGGAGAAAGUUUGAUUUCCUUCCAACAAGUUUAAGCAGUAUUCUGCAGUGCUGUUUUCAAUUUAAGCUUUUUAGUUUUGAGAUCUUUAGAUCCGAGUUUGUUUUUUAAGAGACUUCCUAAGGAAGGAUCUUUAGAAACAGAGGUAUUUUUUUUUCCAUUUUGCCACAAGCCUUAGUUUCCCCCAUUCUAUAGCUCCUCAUCUUUCUCUAGAUGUCUCUAGAGAUGGAGAGAUGACAAAAUGCUCCCUGAUUAGGGGGACUUUUGUCAGAGAAUGUAGGAAUUCCCAUUAAGGCAUCCCUGAGAGAAUUCUGCUCGUGUUGAGCUCCAACGACUCAAAUCUUCCCAGGUAUUUGAGUGUUCUAAUUAUAGAAUAGACAACAAGAAAAGGCUUUACCUCAUUGAGAUUCUUGGGGAUUUCUGGUCAGGGAACCAAAAUUAUGAAGUGCAAAUGAUGAGGAUAAUGAUAGUGAAGAGGUGCAAGAAUUGGGGUGGGGAAUCCCUUCUGGUCAGCACAGAUCCAAUGCAAAAGAGUUUGCAAACCCGAAAAUCUGUAUAGCAAAAAAGGGAAUUUUAUGGUUCACUAAGAAGGAAGCUCUCUUAGUGGGCAAAACUCCUCAUUAGGAAUUUGGCAAAGGUGUGUUAACAGAGACCCCUGGUUAUAUAGGCAAAUGUUAGCCGGGAUUGGAGCUGUCUGAGCUAAUCAAUAGAGGACCAUCAGAGAUCUCCAAUUAAAUAAAAUCACUUAACUGGGAGUUUGAAAGCUUUUCCCAGAGUCUGGGAACUCCCUGGAGGGGCUCUGGGUCACCCCCAAAAGAUCUGUUUCAAUGGAGGGUGAUUUGACCAUGAUCUCCAAUUGAAUAAAUUAACUUGGGAAGGACUUGUCUGGGAAAGGUAUAUUUUCCUCAGGAUUUGAGAGUACAUUUGCCCCCCUACCCCCACAAAGGUUACAUCAUUUUUCCCCAAAAAGAUCUGAGUUUACAUCAGGUUGACUUAUUGAUAGAUUUGUAGUCUCUAAAACUCAGGAAGGUCAGAGUCAGAAUACUAAAGUGAGCAGGAUAAAUAAAUUGUACUCCUAAGGAGGGAAAUAUGAUUUUUUUUCACAACCUAGAAAUGUUUGAUAAAGAAGUCUCUUGACCAGGUGAUACAUUAAUCAUGGUUUCAGGUAAUCAGAAUAAAUACAGAUCCCUUUAAAGAUUCUAGCACUUUAGAAUUUAAUUCUAUUGUGUUCAGAUGAUACCCAGAAUAUCUAAAAUAACCAUUAGACAGAUCCCAGGCUUUCCACCACAAAGGAGACAAUAUGCUGUAGGGGAGAAAACUUUGACCUUUAUUAACUGCAUGGACUUGGGUAAAAUACUUCCAUUUUCUAGGACUUGAUUUUCUAAUAUUUCAAACUAAAGUACUGGACUAAAAGAAUUCCUAAUCUUUUUUAUGUCAUAGACCCUUCAGUAGUCUAAUGAAACAUAUGAGUAUCUUAUCUCAAAAAUGAAUUUUAAAAAUUUUAUUCUUAUAUAUGUAUGUGGAUAAAUAUGUGUUUAUAUAAUACGUGAAUGUAAAUGUGUAUUAUAUAUAUGUAUAUAUACAAUUACAAAGGAAACCAAUUUUAUUGAAAUGCCAAUAUUAGAAUAUUUUUUAAACCAAGCUCUCAUAACCUUUGUUAUACAAAGCCCUGAAGUAAAUUAUUCUAAAAGUCACCUCCUUUAGGCAAACCCUAUGAUCUUUAUCCUUUUAUCCCUAUCUCUCCCUGAGAGUCUGCUGCUGAAUAUUUUUUGUCUGGUCUAGUUAAGUGUUGGCUUAACUAGCUGCAAAAGCAUGAAGAUAUAUAUGACUCACUCUGAAAACCAUUAAAUUCUAUCAGAAUGUAACAGGGAGAAUUGAAGAAAGGAAGUAAAAGGCUGAAUAAGACUGACUGGGAUGAUUUUAAAAGAAAUAUAUACAAAGAAAUUGACUUAAAAUUACAUAAAAAUAGAUAUUAGAAAAUAAUUCUGAUUUUACUACUUGACAUGAAUGCCUUACACAUAUAAACUGUCUUCAGUAAAUACGUUGUGUCUGUAAUUUGUUCCACUGGGUAUUUCAAUUUCAUUUUGUAUAUUACAAUAAGCAUAAGUUAACUCUUUUAAAUAAAUUUAAAGUAUUCAGUCUCUGACUUGUAUAUCUUCUUCUCCAAGCACUUCAUUCAAGCAAAGCCUGAAGCAUCCUGGUUGCUCAGUCAUAGCUACUCAAACACUUAGGGCCAGCCAGUACUUCAUGAUAGCUAAACCAAAAUGAUGUAGAAAAAUUUUCAGUAGCCUCAAAGUCGGUUCACUGAGAUCAGUGAGGAAAAAGAAGACUGACUCCCAUCAGACAAAACACAGCAUCCUCAAGAAAGUUGAAAUCACAGGCAUCUCAGAGAAGGGAGAAUUGGCCCUGACCCACAUUUUCAUGGAGCAAAAGUGAAGUUGGAAUGCUUUUUUUUUCCUUUUCAUUGGGGAAGAUUUAUUCACUGGUGUGAAAAGGAAAAUUGGGUCCUUUUUUGAGGUAUUUAAAAAAAUUUUAUAUAGAACUUUUCUCUUAAAACAUGCAUCACACCAAUUACUUGAUGGAGAAGGGAGAAGAAGGAAGGAAGAUUGGCACAGAGAGUUCUGCAAAAGACAAACUGGGGAAGCAAGGGGCCUCUAACUUUCCUGAAACAACUUCUGUUGCAUCCAUUAGAGACCAUGAUUGAGAAAGAUGUGGGUGAAUUCAUGGCAACUCCCUGCUACACAACAAAAUAAAA
Sarcophilus harrisii (Tasmanian devil) is the source of this 2857-nucleotide long non-coding RNA. NCBI's taxonomy places the organism in Eukaryota, Metazoa, Chordata, Mammalia, Dasyuromorphia, Dasyuridae. The record is from Ensembl.